Molecule: transfer RNA, 64 nt
Filed under: Stenostomum leucops
Lineage: Eukaryota; Metazoa; Platyhelminthes; Stenostomidae
Also listed under: 1 other name
Description: tRNA-Glu
Source: RNAcentral
UUAAAAAUGGUGUAAAAAGCACAACAAAUUUUCUAUUUGUGGGUAACUUUAUAGUUUUUUUAAA